UUUAAAAUAUUAAGGGAAAAUCAAAAGCAAUGUAAUAUUUUAAAAUAUUAAGGGAGAAUUCUUAUUUUACCAUAAAUUUUAUAGCACUUUUCAAAUUUAAAUGAAAAUUAAUUCUCCUAAAUCAUUUAUAAAUAUUUAAUAAUUAUUAUCAAAGUUUAUAAAACUAACUUAAAUACUAAACUCUAAACAAUAAUAACUAAACUAAAAUGUUAGGAAAUUUCUAAUUGAAAGCAUUUUUAAAAGUGGUAAUCAAUUUGUGGUAUUUCAAACAAUUUCUAUAAAUGAAUUAUUUAUUUAGCAUAAGUUUGAUAUCGCUUUUCAAAUUUUCUUUUAAAUAAAUUUACAUAAAUAUCCUUAUAUUAUGAUAGAAAGACUAAAUUAGUCAUUCUAAAUAGAAGUUUUUAAUUUCUCCUAACUAAUAAAUCAAAUCUGAAAUAUGUUGCGUCCUAAACUCGUCAAAAUCCCAGACAGAUGGUCAUAUAUUUUCUUCUUUCUAAAGAAAUUACUAGUUUGAAUAAAGUGGAUUCAACCUUUUGAUAACCAUAUUUGAGUGCUUUAAUUAAUGAAUAAAUUUUAUAUAACUCGCUAUAUGUAACUUCACAAAACUUUUACGGUAAACUGUUUAAAAUAUAUUUUUUGCUAAAGGGUUUUUAUAGACUGUUUAAACUAUUGUACGUGUAUAACGUUCAUGAUUUAAAAUAUAUUAGAAAUAAUUUUCGUUGAGAUUGAUUACUUCCCAAUAAAUACAAGCAUGUGUACAGUGGUUGUUACUCACAUGUACUCACAUGCUGGAAUCAAGUGAUACAAUGUUAAAUAAUUGCAUUAAGUCAUUUCUUUCACAUUUUGUUGAUACUAAUAGUUUAUUACUCCAAAUUAUUUGAAUGCAAAGCAACCUUAAAUACUGCAUGUAUUAAGGAAACAUAUGAAUUAUGUUACAUGGAAUUAGGAUCGAAAUCUGAUACGUGGAAACAGAAAUAUUAGAAAAACGCAACAAUGAGAACUUAAAAAUAUUUAGAAAUUAGAAACGUAUAUAUAUAUAUAAUAAACACCAAAAUUAAUAUAUAAAAUACUGUAAACAUUAAUAUCAUGUACAUAAUUCUAUAGUGUAACUCACAAAAUUUGUAUAAUUACAUAGAACAAUAUAAUAAUAUAUGUAAAUCAUGUAUUUAUUUAUAUUGCUUUGAAACUGACAAAUAAAGCACAAAAAUUACUCAAUUAAUGUACAACAAUUGAAUAAUACAAACGACAUGAAACAAAACGAAUAAGUGAAAAAACAUAAUACAUUUACAUCAUUAUUUAGAGACGAGCAAUGCACCUCCAACAGCCAUUCCAUGUAAAAUAGCUUAUGAAAUGGUCUCUUCUAUUAUUUAGCCAAAAUAUCUUAAUGACUACAAUCAUGUAUUAAUUAAAGAAAAAAACAUAUACAUGUGUUGUCGACACUUAAUAUUAGCUAUUCAGUUUUCUGUUUUGUUUCUGUUUGUUCUUUGGUUCUAGAGGUUUAAUAUCUGUUCGAAUAUUUAGAAAAUUUAGUUUGAGUAACAAGUUGGAAAUCAAAUAAUAUUCUACGUAAUUUUGGAUCCCAUUUGGUUCGGUUUCAAUUUUUAGGUUAACUCCAAUUAAAAAAUAAGAAAACUCAGGAUUUUUAAAUUACAUAUCAGAUUUUUUCGGAUUUUUCGAUUAAAAUUUAGAUUAUUCAAAUAAUUUAAAUUUUGGAUAAAAUGUAUUCUGGUAAUUCAGUUUUAGGGUAUUUUCUUUUAUAAAUAUUAUUUUAAAUGAUUUGCUUAUUUUAAAAUUAAAUAUAGUUUAAAUUUAUAAGCAUAUAAACUAUAUUAUAAAAUUUGGAUAUUCGGUUCUCAGUUCAGUUUUGGUUUUUCGGUUCUAGAGAUGUAAAAUCCUUCGUGCAACUAAUUUGAUCAAAACCUGAACCGGAUUUUUUGGCUCGGUUCGUUGGUUCCAGAUAAAUGUGAGCAGACCUAAUUAAAAUAAUUGAAACUUUAUUUUACAUCACAAACUAAUUAACAUGCUUCAUAAACAUCCAUGCAUAACUUGAUACUUACUUAACAUACAACUCAAUGAAUAGUUGACUGAAUCAUUAUACCCUUUCAUUACGCUAAUUAAAUCGGUGUGUGAAAGAGAAAAUUAAUUGGUAAGACCGUGACAAGUGUUUUUUAAUUAGUGAUUAACAUUUGUAUCUCAUCCAAUUAAAAUUAACUAUAGUAAACAAUUUUAUGUUUAUAUAUCAAUUCAUUAUUUUUACUUUAUAAAUAGAAGUUUGAUUCAUUUCAUUUAACUACAAAAACAUCAUUUAACUAUAAUUAUUUUUAGUUAUUCUCUAAAACUUUUAUUUAUAUCUUUAAAAAUCUUUCUUUUUUGUGAAAUGGAUCCUAACAAUUAUCUUUUCAGUAUCCAAAAAAUACAGCUAAUUACCUUUUCCCCUAUUCAAAUCUCAACAGUUACAUAUUUCAAAAUUAAUAUUUCAAUCAACUCCAAAGUAAAAUUUACCAAAUUUCUGUAUACCAUCAUUCCUUGGAAACUACCGUCCAGUAUUGUAUUUAAAAUAGUCAAGAAUAUAUAAUAAAACAACUAAAUCUUAUUUAAAAUAUGUAAUUUUAAUUAAUUAAAUUUCAGUUGAAAAUUACUAAUAACAUGUAGUUAUUAAAUAAAAAUAUAAAAUAAAAAUUGUGGAAUAAAGUGUUAAAUUUUAUCUAAUAAAACUAUUUUUCAAAACUAAAAUUUAAAUGAGUAUUGAAUUGUUAAGUGAAAAAAAAGGAUAUUAAUUAUUAAAUAAAUUAACCAAUGUAGAUCGUUUAAAGAGAUUAGCUGAUGAUUGGAGUGCUUCGUAACUUUAGCAACCUCCACUCGAGGCUUUCUUGAUCCAAGAUAUUGGUUAUAAAAGGACCAACCUUAACAUGAAAUUGAGCGACACUUCUAAUAUUGCGAGGGAGAAGAAGAGAGCAAAAAUGAGCUUUAAUAGGAAUUUGUUAAAUAUCACAAUAAUCCUUUGUGUAUGUUUCAGUUGGGAUUGUAGCGAGGGAGCUCGAGCGAAACAGAGGAAAGAGAUUGAUUCUCAUACUAUCCAACUUAACUCUCUCUUCCCUUCACCAUCAUCACCCUAUGUUCUUUCUGCAAGAGCGUCUAACACAAAGUCCUCACUGCACGUGACACAUAGGCACGGCACGUGCUCGCGUUUAACAAGAGGCAAAUCCACGAGUCCAGACCAUGCGGAGAUCCUGAGACUCGACCAAGCGCGCGUAAACUCAAUUCACUCGAAACUGUCGAAGAAGCUCCUCACAGAUGGAGUGAGGCAAAGCCAGACAACGAAUCUACCGGCUAAACACGGAAGCAUCUAUGGAUCUGGAAACUAAAAUAUACUAUAUUUCAUUUAGAAUAGUAUGGCAAUGAUAGUUACUAUAAUUGAUGAAUGGGAAAAGGAGGAAAAUGGAGAGGUGAGGAACAGGAGGGGAGGAGGAGGAAGGAGGAAAGAUAGAAGUAUGGAGGAAAGGAAGGAGGAAUGGAGAGAGAGACCGGGGAAGAGAGGGGAGGUGGGAAAGAGUAGGAGGGAGUGUAAGAGUAAAAGCGACAGAAAAAAACUAUACUAUUUUGAUGAAUAGAUUAGUAUACUAUAAUGUAAUGUUUAUUCAAAUACUGUAUGAAAGCUAUAUAAAUUGUCAAUACAAACAUGUAUGUGAAUCUCCAUUAACUUAGAGCAUUCAUUCAACACAAUAGCAUAAGAGGCGAAGGAGAUACAAUUUGUCAAAGAGAAAAAGGAGAAUUAUAACAUAAUAUACUGUGAUUAUAAAAUAAAAUAAAAUAAAAUAUAUUACACAAAAUUUAUUUUCAAUCCAUCAUCUGAUUCUUGAUCAAGCAAAAAAAUAAAUAAACGGUGGUUCCAAUGUAAGUGAAGCAUACUAUACUGUACUUGAAAAUUAGUAUGGAAUACAUGAUAUAAGAUACUGUUCUUCUUCCCCAGUUCAAUCCAUCGCAUUGUUCUUCAUAUUCUUAAAGAUAUUGAUUCACAUAUUUGUUUCACGGUAACCGAAAUUGUUGCUUGAUCCCCUGAUUCUAUUCAAUCAUAACAAAUUUACCGAGAUUCAGCUGGUUCCUCGGUAGUCAUGCCGUCAAGUGAUUCUCUUAUUUCUACGAACACUCUGUAAUUGUCGCUCUCUGAUGUACCUCUUUUCUGUUCUCCAGCUGUUGCUCAAAAUCUUUUUUUCUAUUAGUUUCAUGAAGCAAAACACAAAGAUACAUUUUUUUUUCACGCGCAGUUAAGGCCAUUAUUGUCCAAUUUCAUAAUAAUAUGUAUUAUACAGUAGCCUAAACGUUGUUAUGUGUAUAUUCUUAAUUUUUGAUAUGUUAUGGACAUGAUCCCUAAUUCCCCUUAAAAAUAUAACUCGUACAUCCUCACAUUUUCUUUUAUAAAUCAAAAAAUGAUGAUAAGUAUAAAAAAAAUAUUUUAUGUACUAAAUUUAUCAUGUUAGAUUUUUGUUUGUACAAACAUUUAUCAUAUUGAAUUUAUGUUUUAUGAUUGUUUAAUUUGACAAAAAUAUAAUAAAUAAUAAAAGUUAGGAUUAGACAGUUUUUAGUUGCACUAAAAUAUAACUAAGUACUUUUAUCUACAUUAGCGGCUUAAAAAGAAAUCAGUUUUUAGAGAUCUGGUUCCGUGAAAUCAAUCCCACCAAUUCUGACCGUCGCAACAAAAGAGAUAUUAGCAAAGCAAUACCACUGAAACGCCUAAUUCCAAUAAACGACAAAGACCUCACUCUCAAGGAAACAAAAAUAAAUGAUAAUACCGUCACUCCAAACGUAACCGAAAACUACUAAAGGCUACAACAUAAAGGACGCGAGAGAGCAGUCCCAAACCAAGGAGUUAAAAGCACCAGCCUAAACUUGACUGGAGAAAGGAUAAGAUGAUCUCUUGCUUAGCCUUCGUCCCAAGGUAAUCAAAGACCUAACGAAGCUACAAGUUCAAUGCAUUCAUCCUACACCAACUGCUAGAAAUAGGAACCCUUAAAACCCAAGCAUCGAAGGGAGACACUUCAAAGAAACCGCCUAACCAAAAUCACAAGAGAACCAGAACCAUGACAGUAACGAACCACGCCAUACACAAACAAGAAAAAAACAGUGGGAAGAAACACAACCAGGGUAACAGAAGAGACAACUCCCUUCCAAAAGUUUCAUAAUGAAACACACCCAAUAAGGAUUCUGAGCAAACCAAGAAAAGAAAUGCAGUUCUAAAGUAUUGCCAUACCAAGCACUUAAGACCCAACACAACAGGCAAACACCGAUGAGAAGCCUGAAACAUAACC
Long non-coding RNA from Brassica rapa (field mustard), 5306 nucleotides. RefSeq lists it as uncharacterized. NCBI's taxonomy places the organism in Eukaryota, Viridiplantae, Streptophyta, Magnoliopsida, Brassicales, Brassicaceae. The record is from RefSeq and is a predicted model, not a curated record.